UGCCAGCCGCCGCGGUAAGACGGAGGGUGCAAACGUUGUUCGGAAUCACUGGGCAUAAAGCGCACGUAGGCGGUCCAUUAAGUCUGAAGUGAAAUCCUUCGGCUCAACCGGAGAACUGCUUCGGAUACUGAUGGACUUGAGGAUGGUAGGGGUGCGAGGAACUUCCGGUGGAGCGGUGAAAUGCGUUGAUAUCGGAAGGAACACCGGUGGCGAAGGCGUCGCACUGGACCGGUACUGACGCUGAGGUACGAAAGCGUGGGGAGCGAACAGGAUUAGAUA
This 279-nucleotide ribosomal RNA is filed under the name uncultured bacterium. RNAcentral's name for it is "partial 16S ribosomal RNA". It matches the Rfam family "Bacterial small subunit ribosomal RNA", at positions 506 to 784 of the family's 1533-position model. The record is from RNAcentral.